CAUUUAGCAACAAAUCAACCUGCCUCUAGCAAUUUACCCAGAAAAUAAAUUGGCAACACCUGCGACUGGAGUGUAACUGUAAAAUGGCGCCCGGUGAAAUCUGAGUGGAAAAUAAAAGGGAAUGUAAUAAAAGAGCACAGAGACAAUUUGUGACUCCAAUGCACAAGAAUAACGCUUCUACGGGCGUGUCCAUCCAAACAGUCAAGUUGGAAGGAAGAAGGUAAAGAGUAGCGAAAAGUAUGGAAGGUUUGUUUGAGGAGCUAGUGAGGCUGAAGGUCCACAGUGUCCCCAGUAUCGGAUGAAGGAGUUCCUGGAGUCCCUGUCCAACAAGCGCUCAGAGGCACUGCAGGAGUUCAACCAGCAGGCAGGUGUUAUCACUACAACCACCACCAUGGUUUACCAGCAGGGGGUCAACUGCAUCUACACAGACGGCAACGAGGUGGCUGGGUCACUGCUGGAACUGUCUGUCUGCAACAGCAGGUGCAGGUGUCCCAGCAGAAGGGGAUGUCAUGACAGCAGCAGCUCUCGCCCCAUAUGACCACUGCCGCAAGGCCAAGACAUAAUACAGGUCAGGACUUUUUCCUCGUUCUCCUUUCUCUCCCUUCUUUCUCCCUCAUCAUUCUGUCUCUGUCUGUCUCACUGCCACUCUCCUAAAAAUGAGUGGCAAUUAUUAAAGUGCAUUCAGAAAGUAUUCAGACACCCUUUAUUUAUUCCAGAUUGUUACGUUACAGCCUUAUUCUAAAAUUGAUCAAAUAUUUUUUUCCUCCUCAAUCUACACACACUACCACAUUAUGACAAAGCAAAUACAGGUUUAGACUUUUGCAAAAAAAAAGUCACAUUUACCCUUUACCCAUUAGUACUUUAUUGCAGCAAUUACAGCCUUGAGUCUUCUUGGGUAUGACCAUACAAGCUUGGCACACCUAUUUUGGGGGAUUUUCUCCCAUUUCUCUCUGCAGAUCCUCUCAAGCUGUCAGGUUGGAUGGGGAGCAUCGCUGCACAGCUAUUUUCAGGUCUCUCCAGAGAUGUUAGGUCAGGUUUAAGUCUGGGCUCUGGCUGGGCCACUCAAGGACAUUCAGAGACUUGUCCCGAAGCUACUCCUGUGUUGUCCUGGCUGUGUGCUUAGGGUCGUUCUUCUGUUAGGUGAACCGUCGCCGCAGUUGGAGGUCCUGAGUGCUCUGGAGCAGGUUUCCAUCAAGGAUCUUGCUGUACUUUGCUCAAUUCAUCUUUCCCUUGAUCCUAACUAAUCUCCCAGUCUCUGCCAUUGAAAAACAUCCCCACAGAUGCUGCCACCACCAUGCUUCACCAUAGAGAUGGUGCCUCCAGACGUGACACUGGGCAUUCAGGCCAAAGAGUUCAAUCUUGGUUUCAUCAGACUAGAGAAUCUUGUUUCUCAUGGUCUGAGAGUCUUUGGGUGUCUUUUGGCAAACUCCCAAGUGGACUGUUGUGCCUUUUACUGAGGUGUGGCUUCUGUCUCGCCAUUCUACCAGAAAGGCCUGAUUUGGUGGAGUGCUGCUCAGAUGGUUGUCCUUCUGGAUGGUUCUCCCAUCUCCAUACAGAAAGUCUUGAGCUCUGUCAGUGACCAUCGGGUUCUUGGUCACCUUUCUGAUCAAGGCCCUUCUCUCCCAUUUGGCGAGCCAGCCAGCUCUAGUUAGUCUUGGUGGUUCCAAACUUCCAUUUAAGAAUGAUGGAGGCCACUGUGUUCUUGGGGACCUUCAAUGCUGUAGAUAUUUUUUGAUACCCUUCCCCAGAUCUGUGCCUCGACACAGUCCGGUCUCGGAGCUCCCAAGUUGUAGAAACAUCUCAAGGAUGAUCAAUGGAAACAGGAUGCACCUGAGCUCAAUUUCAACUCUAAUAGCAAAGUGUCUGAAUACUUAUGUAAAUAACAUAUUUCUGUUUGAAAUUUUUGCCAAUUUAUGUAUUUUUUUGUAAAAACACUUUACUUUGUCAUUAUGGGGUAAUGUGUGUAGAUUAAGAUUUUAAUUAUUUGAUCCAUUUUAGAAUAGGGCUGUAACGUAACAAGAUCUGUAAAAAGUCAAGGGGUCUGAAUACUUUCCAAAUGCACUGUAUUUCUAGAUAUUUUUUUGUUAACCAGUCUUGCUCACUGCUACUUGUUUCUCUUUGUCAUGAUUAUGCCUCUGCAGUUUCUUCCUUUUUUUUUUUCUUUCACUUUCAUAAUUUUCCUUACCUGAGUAUUGCCUAGCCGUGAACAGGUAUAUGGAGUCACCUGAAAGUUCACACUCAGGAUGUACUUUCCUCUCUGUUUUUCCUGCCAGCUUUGCGUUACUGGACUGAACAGACCUGGGAUGACCUCAUUAAGCUGGCUGGAGGCACAGUGAAUAAUGCUCAGGCCAUAGUGCCCUCCUUAACAACUAUCACCACAGUGGCAGUGAAUGACUUGCAGACCUUUGGCCCCUCUGACCAGGGUUGUGUUCAAUUGGAGCAAAUGGGAGAAAACACUUUGAAAAUGGAAGAGGUGCCACAUGAAUUUGUCAUUUAGGAACACUGACUUUGGUUUUCUGUUUGAAAAUGUUUUUUUCAAGCUAGGCUUAGUCAUGGUUGACAAACCACUUUUUACAUUGGUUUGUCAACCAUUGGUCUCAGCCAUUGGUCCAGCUAGGCAGGGUAGUAAUACUGUGCUGUCUACGGGACAGCCCCUCGGAAACACAGACACACUCACUAUCAACACUCUACCACACACGCAACAGACAGACGAUUAAACUUGGAAUUAGCCUAAAUCUCUCGACCAAUGGCUGAGACUAAUGGUGUUACAUUAAAAUAGAUGACGAUCUCGGCCUCACCUGUCGUAAGUGAAUGAUGGUGAUGAAAUAAUCUGGACCCCGUUUACGAGACACUGUGGUAAACUUUACCACUCAGUACUCGUCACACAGCACCUGGAGUAACAUGGUCUAACUAAUAGAAGUAGAGAAACGACUGCAUGCUGUGUUAGCGGAAUCAGAAUUCUUUAGGUAACAUUGAUAAAUAAGAUGUUUUAUCAAUGUUCAUAAGUAUGCUUAUGUGGGAAAAGUUACUUGGGCCCCAGAGAGGGGAGAGGUCAGGCUUGUCUUCUUAUGGGAAUGUGUCUAACUAUUACUUGUCCCCUCAGGUUGCCUUUCUCUUGAUUUAGUAUAUGUCCUAGGAGGCUCACUGUCUCUGAGCUUGUCCAGGAGGGGUUGUAUUUUUGUUGGGAGUGUCUAGUAUUGAUAUAUGCCAUUGGAUGAGGUAAAGUUUUGGUUCUAAGUGGUACCAAGAAUGAGAAGAACUUAGUUUAGGAGACCAAACUGAAUAAUUUAUAGCCAAUGCUGUCUGGCUAUGUGUGUCUUUGCUAUAAAUGAUCUGUUGCCAUUAUGUAAGCACUCUCAGAAUUCAUUUAUGGACACAAUUGAUCUGAGUCACAGGGCUAUGGUGAAGCUCAUAUAAUUAAAGAUGGACUUUAUGAUAACUCUGACUUGUGUGUGGUUUGCUCUCUCAUGAUUUGGUAAUACAGGAAAUUUCCACGACAAUGCACAGCAGGAAAUGUGACACUUCUGACACAUUUUGCUAGAUACACCCAUACUCUGUGCAGCACCCAAACCAAGUGGCAAGAAUAUGCUUAUGAAGAUUCUUCCUAAAUUCAUGGGCAGCAUUCUGAGCAAUGUGAAACCAGAAGAACUAUGCACGUCUAUUGGUCGAACUUGAUGCUGUGAAUGUAAUCAACAUAUUACCCAUGAAGAUUUUCUACAUUUUGAUUAUUGUUCAGUGUCCAAUCACCAUCAAAUCCAUCACUCACCAUGUCCUUCUGUUUCAGGGGGGUCACCAUGAAGAUGAUCCUAACAUUCUGCUCCCACACCAUCCUCCAGAAGUCAGCCAUGGUGCUGCGCAAAGGACCCUGGCUACAGAUUAAGUCUGGCUCUGUACAGCCCCCUGAAAAGCAGACCACUGACUUGAUGAAUGGAUAUAUGGACAGACAGAGUACUUACAGGGACAUAACUAGCGUUGAUAUAGCUUCACUCUACAGUGGUAAUCUGAAAUCACAGGGACUGUUAUUAAUCAACGUGAUCAGAAAGUGGGAAGCAUUACCGAACAUGGGAGAGAUGUGAAGGAUGUGUUCAUGUACUUAGAUACAGCAGGUUAUAUAAUCAUGGUAAUUACACUCCUAUUACUCAGGGGCAGCAUGUGGUGGUGCUAUGAUACUCUCAAGGCAGUAUGUAGGGGUAUCUGUUCUCUCUGUUAGCCUUCCAGGUCUCCAGCCCUGGUAGUGAGUUCUUUACCAUCAUCCAGCUCCUGAAGAAUAAACAGCUAAUGGGACACUAUGAAACAGCCACAGCAGACACUGCACAAAGACUCCAAAGCACAAUCAUCUACUGUAUGGUGUGGUCUCACAAGACUGAUGGCCUAGAUUAGUGAGUUUGGUUUACCUCAAACCGCCCUUGGCAGCGAGUGAUUGAAAGCACAGGUGGAAUUCCUGUAGUAUAUGUGCCCGUGAAAGCACCCUUAUUCGAUGUGGAAAUAUGGCAACAGUCUUCAGCCGAUUAAAACAUGUUUUGUUAAACAACUCUUUAAAUUGAGCUCCAAUUUUCCUCAAAGUGGUGUUUUUACAAGUGACUACACCCAUAAUGUUCUUAAUUCCAUCAUUCCAUGCUUCUGGGUUGGACUUGAGAAAACAAUAGGCUAAAACACUUCACUAACAGCACUCAGUUACUGUAUAUCAACUAAUGAAAGGUUACUUUUCUCUUCCAUAUUUUAGCAGAUGCUCUUAUCCAGAGCAAUUACGGUUAAGUGCCUUGCACAUCAACAUAUUUUUCACCUAGUUGGCCUCAGGGAUUCGAACCUUUCGGUUACUGGCCCAACGCUCUUAACCGCUCCGCUACCUGCCGCCCAUACCAUUUCACAAAGACUUAAGUUAUUAUAUCCACUCCUUCAGUGACUUUCAGGGUUCCUCACCUCAUGUUUGUUAGGGGUGCAGAGAUUAGGCAAAGCUUCCUUUGGUAACCAAGAACGGAAGUAUAGUGUAGAGGGAGCCAGGCUGGUGAGGUGGUGUUGGGUAGUUUUAAAAGAAAUGUGAUCAGAUGAUCACAAAGCCAAAUCCCCCACCCACCCCUGCUAGCUAAAGAGGAAUUUGGACACACAGUGGCUCUCACACACAAGGAUUCGAACACCAACCUGAGAACACUAUAAAAACCUGCAUCAACAGGUCAACAACAACUCAAAACACAGGUAAAGCACAGAGUGAGCAACCACAGCCUAGUGUUCCUUAUUAGUUAGUAUCACCUUUGUAAGUGCUCCUUUGAGUGAGAAAGAGUUUAGAGUGCAACGGGGGCUCUUCCCAUCGAUGUGUUAUGUCCUGUCAAGUUGUCAGUCUCCAAUUAUCCAAGCCACCACAUUUUAUUCUCUCUCAAUUCAAAGGGCUUUAUUGGCAUAGGAAACAUGUUUACAUUGCCAACGCAAGUGAAUAGAUAAUAAGCAAAAGUGAAAUAAACAAUCAAAAAUUAACUGUAAACAUUACACUCACAAAGGUUUCAGAGAAAUGGAGACAUUUCAAAUGUCAUUGUGGCUAUGUACAGUGUUAUAAUGAUAGUUAAAGUACAAAAGAGAAAAUAAUAAAACAUAAAGAUGGGUUGUAUUUA
Long non-coding RNA from Oncorhynchus tshawytscha (Chinook salmon), 5603 nucleotides. Lineage: Eukaryota; Metazoa; Chordata; Actinopteri; Salmoniformes; Salmonidae. The record is from Ensembl.